GACGUAGGGGGCGAGCGUUGUCCGGAAUUAUUGGGCGUAAAGAGCUCGUAGGCGGCCUGUCGCGUCGAUCGUGAAAACUUGGGGCUUAACCCUGAGCUUGCGGUCGAUACGGGCAUGACUGGAGUUCGGCAGGGGAGACUGGAAUUCCUGGUGUAGCGGUGAAAUGCGCAGAUAUCAGGAGGAACACCGGUGGCGAAGGCGGGUCUCUGGGCCGAUACUGACGCUGAGGAGCGAAAGCGUGGGGAGCGAACAGG
RNAcentral lists this ribosomal RNA (254 nucleotides) under uncultured bacterium. Its description in RNAcentral is "partial 16S ribosomal RNA". It matches the Rfam family "Bacterial small subunit ribosomal RNA", at positions 524 to 776 of the family's 1533-position model. The record is from RNAcentral.